AGGGCACCACCAGGAGUGGAGCCUGCGGCUUAAUUUGACUCAACACGGGAAAACUCACCCGGCCCGGACACUGGAAGGAUUGACAGAUUGAGAGCUCUUUCUUGAUUCAGUGGGUGGUGGUGCAUGGCCGUUCUUAGUUGGUGGAGCGAUUUGUCUGGUUAAUUCCGAUAACGAACGAGACUCUAGCCUACUAAAUAGAUCGUCGGCUUACAAACGCCGAUGAGACUUCUUAGAGGGACAGGCGGCGAUUCAGCCGCACGAAACAGAGCAAUAACAGGUCUGUGAUGCCCUUAGAUGUCCGGGGCCGCACGCGCGCUACACUGAAGUGAUCAGCGUGCAUUUUCUGCCUACUCUGCCAAGAGUGGGAAACCCAAUGAACCUUCUUCGUGAUUGGGAUAGGGGAUUGUAAUUAUUCCCCUUGAACGAGGAAUUCCCAGUAAGCGCGAGUCAUAAGCUCGCGUUGAUUACGUCCCUGCCCUUUGUACACACCGCCCGUCGCUACUACCGAUUGAAUGUUUU
RNAcentral lists this ribosomal RNA (519 nucleotides) under uncultured eukaryote. RNAcentral describes it as "SSU rRNA". It matches the Rfam family "Eukaryotic small subunit ribosomal RNA", at positions 1161 to 1699 of the family's 1831-position model. The record is from RNAcentral.